RNAcentral lists this ribosomal RNA (253 nucleotides) under uncultured bacterium. Its description in RNAcentral is "partial 16S ribosomal RNA". It matches the Rfam family "Bacterial small subunit ribosomal RNA", at positions 524 to 776 of the family's 1533-position model. The record is from RNAcentral.
UACGGGGGGGGCAAGCGUUGUUCGGAAUUACUGGGCGGAAAGGGCUCGUAGGUGGCCAACUAAGUCAGACGUGAAAUCCCUCGGCUUAACCGGGGAACUGCGUCUGAUACUGGAUGGCUUGAGGUUGGGAGAGGGAUGCGGAAUUCCAGGUGUAGCGGUGAAAUGCGUAGAUAUCUGGAGGAACACCGGUGGCGAAGGCGGCAUCCUGGACCAAUUCUGACACUGAGGAGCGAAAGCCAGGGGAGCAAACGGG